RNAcentral lists this ribosomal RNA (508 nucleotides) under uncultured bacterium. RNAcentral's name for it is "partial 16S ribosomal RNA". It matches the Rfam family "Bacterial small subunit ribosomal RNA", at positions 28 to 523 of the family's 1533-position model. The record is from RNAcentral.
GAUGAACGCUAGCUACAGGCUUAACACAUGCAAGUCGAGGGGAAACGAUAGAGAAAGCUUGCUUCUUCUAGGCGUCGACCGGCGCACGGGUGAGUAACGCGUAUCCAACCUGCCCAUCACUUGGGGAUAACCUUGCGAAAGUAAGACUAAUACCCAAUGAUAUCUCAAGAAGACAUCUGAAUGAGAUUAAAGAUUUAUCGGUGAUGGAUGGAGAUGCGUCGGAUUAGCUUGUUGGCGGGGUAACGGCCCACCAAGGCGACGAUCAGUAGGGGUUCGGGGACGAAGGUCCCCGACGUUGGAACUGAGACACGGUCCAAACGCCGACGGGAGGCAGCAGUGGGGAAUAUUGGUCAAUGGGCGAGAGCCGGAACCAGCGAAGUAGCGUGUAGGAUGACGGCCCUAUGGGUUGUAAACUGCUUUUAUACAGGAAUACAGUGAGCCUCGUGAGGCUUUUUGCAUGUACCUUAUGAAUAAGGACCGGCUAAUUCCGUGCCAGCCGCAGCCGUAA